Non-coding RNA from Cricetulus griseus (Chinese hamster), 993 nucleotides. Lineage: Eukaryota; Metazoa; Chordata; Mammalia; Rodentia; Cricetidae. The record is from RefSeq and is a predicted model, not a curated record.
GGCCCCCCCCAAAACGACCCCCCACCUCUGCCCCUGCCCCCUUGCGGGGGUUACCCACGGCUGCUCCUCCUUUCCCGCGUCUACCUCUCCUCAUUACCUGUGCUUGCAACCUACAUUCAAAAGUAUUUUGUAUUUAUAAUUUCUUUUUCUGGUUUUGCUUUUCUACUGCAUGUCUAGGGGGGAGGGGCCAGCCUGUCCAGACCCCUCUCCUUUUGCGAACCUGCCAUAUGGAGGAGGCAUCUGAGGGGCUCAGAAAGAAAUUAGCGCAGCUCUGUAUCUGUAGACUGCGUUACUUUUAAGCUCCCGGGACUGAAAUAAUAAUAUGGGCACACAGGUACAGGAAAUACAGCCAGUCCACGGCCUUUUCAGACUGCAGCUGACCGGAAGACAGCCAUUCAUUCAUUCAUUCAUUUAUUCGGACAGCCUCGGUUGAAGAGCCCUGAAAUCAGAAGUUGGGCGAGGAAAAAAAAAAGUCUCUACACUCGCUGAGAAGAGAUAAAUCGAUAUACAGGAGAGAAACAGAACCGGAGUCAGCGUCUCUAACGCAACCCAGAAGCAGGCGAAAGGCCUUUUCACCAGCUGAUCACGUCCUCUGCAUUUUAUCCUGCUAGCUGCCACCUCUACAACAUUCUUCUCCUACAAUCUGCUUGGGUAUCUUAUUUCCUGCCACCCUAAUGCUAAGCACAUGAUGUUGGCCUGAGGUUUCCUCAGGGAUCAGACCUGGGACUCCAGCAGGUAGGAAAGUGCAAGGAUACUCAAGUCCUGUAAUAGUGGUGUUUACAUAGAACCCCCAUCCAGGUGCCAGCGAGAUGGCUCAGUGAGUAAAGGCAUUUGCUGCCAAGCCUGAGGACCCAAGUUCCAUCCCCAGCACUGCAUGAUGUAAGGAGAGAACUGGCUCCCAUACAUUGUCCUCUGACUGACACACCUGCAAGUGCAGCCCGUGGUGGGUGCAUGGACACACAAACACACAUCAAAUAAAAGAUAAAGAACCCA